AAUACAGCGGUUCCCGUACGAUCGUCCAAGUUAAGCCACAUCGAGCAUAGUCAGUACUUAGAUGAAUGAACGUUUGGGAAUACCAAGAGCUGUAA
Molecule: non-coding RNA, 95 nt
Organism: Acanthosepion pharaonis
Lineage: Eukaryota; Metazoa; Mollusca; Cephalopoda; Sepiida; Sepiidae
Source: the annotation of a GenBank genome assembly